RNAcentral lists this microRNA precursor (60 nucleotides) under Limulus polyphemus (Atlantic horseshoe crab). Its description in RNAcentral is "Lpo-Mir-305-P4_pre stem-loop". The record is from RNAcentral. Lineage: Eukaryota; Metazoa; Arthropoda; Merostomata; Xiphosura; Limulidae.
UUUGUACUUCAUCAGGUGCUCUGGUGAUCUUCUAUCCAGGCAUCUUAUGCAGUGCAAUUU